CUUUCACUGAGCUGGUUGUUAUCAAUGGAGUCAGGCAGUUUAGACUACAGGUGAUUUAGAGAGGAAAGGGAAAAAUUGAAUCAAUGAGGGAGAAGAAACAAUUGCCCAACAAUCAAGAAAUUAUCCUUAAACUUCCAGGCCAGAAGCAACCACUUCUUGCUCUCAACUAAGAACUGAGAGGCAGGCUGGCACAAAUGGAUAUAGUCUAAGAAUUAACAACAAAGAGACUUGUAUUCAAAUCCUGU
This 245-nucleotide long non-coding RNA is filed under the name Monodelphis domestica (gray short-tailed opossum). Its description in RNAcentral is "lncRNA (ENSMODG00000042711.1)". The record is from RNAcentral. Lineage: Eukaryota; Metazoa; Chordata; Mammalia; Didelphimorphia; Didelphidae.